RNAcentral lists this long non-coding RNA (223 nucleotides) under Lathyrus oleraceus (garden pea). RNAcentral's name for it is "Pisum sativum (pea) long non-coding RNA (PSAT_LNC015327)". The record is from RNAcentral. Lineage: Eukaryota; Viridiplantae; Streptophyta; Magnoliopsida; Fabales; Fabaceae.
UUAAUUGCAUGACAUGACACCAAAUUGAGACCAAUUUUUAAUGACAUGACAUUUGGGUGAAGACAUGUCAUGCCACAUUUGCCAAAUUAAAAUCCAGGUCAUUUAAAAUGAUUUUUUAUUUUAUUAAUAAUAUAAACUAUUCUAUUUAAAAAAAAAUUAAAAAUAACAUUAAAAAAAUAAAAAAUAAAUUCAUCAUCUUUAACCAAAUUUCAUCAUCUUCAAC